CCGCCACUGCCAUCGCCACCACUGUUUCCUGGGAGACAGACUCUGUUUAUGACAUUAUCAAAAAGUCCAGCCCCUCCCUACACCUCCCUGCCUCUCUUUAUGGGGACCAAGAUUUGGGCUGUAAAUACCACUGCCUGUCUUCCCUGAAGACUUCAAUGGGCCCUGAACAUGUUGUUAGCGCGAAGGACACACAAGGCUUCCCUUUGACUGCCCUGGCCAGCAUCCCCGCCACACCCAGGCCCACAGGAAGGUCACCCGCCCACCCUCUGCCGUGCCUUCCCUCCGCCGCCAAGCCCCAGGACAACUGCUCUCAGCAAGCCAGGAAGAGGCCCCCACCAGACCAAACCACACAGCCACCCUGGACCCCAGCUCCCAGAAGCACGGGGAAACAAACAUCCGUUGCCUAAACCCCAGGCUGACAUCUUGUCACAGUAGCCAGAGUGGACUCAGGUCCACAGCGGAGUCGAGGAAGGCUUCCUGCAGAGCCAAUGUGGCCAUCCUUGGGGGAGCCAGGCCGGGCCAACCCCUCUCCCACCACACAGCAGCCUGGCUGCAAAUGCGGGAAGCUUCUUGGGGACUUCAUGGCUCCACUGCAGGCACAGAGGCCAGCCUGGAUGAGAGACCAGGCACCCUCCGCAGUCCAGCCAGGGCCCUGGAGCAGGGCAAAGAGGCAGAAAGAUCACGGGUACUGAGCCCCAGAUUUCCGCUGCCCCUGCUGCCCUGGCAGAGGAAACAGAGAACAAGGCCCCCACCCACCCAGCUCCCACCCUGGGGGCAGCUUGGAAGUGGGGAUCUCGGCCAGGCUCUGAAUGACAGAAACCAUCAGGACAUGGAAAAACAAGACCUAUAAAGAAAUACACAUUUUAUACAUCAGUUUAAUUAAAGUACAUUAAAAUGAGUUUGCUUAAAUAAAAAAAAAAAUUA
Molecule: long non-coding RNA, 924 nt
Filed under: Heterocephalus glaber (naked mole-rat)
Lineage: Eukaryota; Metazoa; Chordata; Mammalia; Rodentia; Bathyergidae
Description: lncRNA (ENSHGLG00100032963.1)
Source: RNAcentral